This is a long non-coding RNA of Parambassis ranga (Indian glassy fish), 1065 nucleotides long. NCBI's taxonomy places the organism in Eukaryota, Metazoa, Chordata, Actinopteri, Ambassidae. The record is from Ensembl.
UGUUAGUGUGUGAGUAUAUAAAGGCCAGUGACUUUCCCAUUUGCAUCAAACUCGUCAAUUCAUCUAGCAUGGAUAAACAUUUGCUGUUGGUCCUGUUGUGUCUGCUCGUUACAGCUGCCUCUCCACUGGCAGCUCGUCCUCUGUCAGAGGAAGAAACUGAGCUGCAGAAGAAUAUGAGAAGCCAAAGGGAGAAACUGAGAGACUGUUUGAACACAGGAAAAUGUGGUGACAGCUUUCAGCAAAUAUUACAACAGCGACGACCAGAACCACAGCCAGAACCCCAACAUUAUGAAAGUUACCGACCAGGCGAUAUGUCUCCCAUCUUUUUCAUGAGAGAUUAAUCCCUGCACUAAUUUCAGUUUUUCAUCCAGGAGGCCACUGUUUGUGGAAACAUAUCUGUGUCCUUAUAUCAGAAACACUUUGUUUGUUGAAUAAUCUGCCAAAUAGGCUUCAUAGAUGCCUUUGCUAUAUACACAAUUUAAUAUGACUGUCGCUUUGUUGUUACAAAUGCUGAUUGAUAAGUCUGUGUCCCAAAGGGAAAGAGAUCAUACAGCUCUCUCCUGACAGACAUAUGCUGUUUAAGUCAGAGUGGCUAUUCUAUGCAGAAGGUUGGAAUUCAAUAACUUCUGUUAUCCAAAACUCCUGUUUUGUAUGGAAACAAUCCUCCAAGAAGAAUGUGAAAAGAACACUUAUUUCCUGGUCAUUGACCCUGGUGUGUACUAUCUGACUGCUACUUCUGGUCAUUUCUAAAUUGCACACGUCAAAACAUGUUUCUAUGGACAGAACUUGUCAACAUGCUUGCCAAAAAUAGCAAAGACAUGGAACAACUGUUCAAACGUGUCUGUAAAAGUAUCAAAAACAAUAGUCUUUCUGUUGACACCAGCGUCAUGGGAGAAAGUCUGGGUUAGUAGUAGCCACCAAUGGAGAGAAAGCUUGUUCUUUUUCUCAGACAGUGAUAACUAUUUACAGAUUGGAAAUUCCACAAAAUUAUUUGCAUUAUUGUAGCUACAAAAUUAAACUGCACCUGCUUCUAAGAAGAGCUGUAUCUCUUUGUUUUUAGGCCAC